Molecule: long non-coding RNA, 1041 nt
Organism: Monomorium pharaonis (pharaoh ant)
Lineage: Eukaryota; Metazoa; Arthropoda; Insecta; Hymenoptera; Formicidae
Exons: 8
Source: RefSeq, a predicted model, not a curated record
UAUAAAAUUGUUAUCUGGGAAAAAUAAAGACAAAAAAAAUUAUUCCCACAUCUUGCAUCAAGAAUUUUAAACCAGAGUCACACAAGAAAAUUUUAAAGUAUCAAGUGGAAGAAACAGUAGGCGAAGAACCGUAUGUAGCAACGAUUUUGUUACUAUCAGAUUCAAAUGAAGAACUUAAAGAAAUAAUUAGAACAAAAAGUGUUCGUGCUUCACCAUCGUAUUUGCUUGUGACAGCUUCGGAUAAAUCUGACAACGAGGGAAAAAAACAGUUAAAGCGUUCAAAAACUUUUCAAAUGAAUCGUCAGUUAAAAGAACAAGAGGAACUAGUCUGUAAUAAAUUAUCAAAGUUUAAGAGUGAUUUAUUGCCAAUAAACGUUACAUUAAAAGAUAAGGAAAAUUUAGAUUUGUCAAACAUUACUGAUACACCGCCAUCACCCAAAAAAUAUAGAGUAACAGAGAUUUAGCACAAACAAAAAUAAAUUCAUGCAAGAUGACAAUCUAGUCAAAGCACUAACCAAAGAAACAAACACGAGAAACGAAAAGGAGAAGUGUGGUAAUGAGUCCCCAAAAAAACAGUUAAAGCAUUCAAAAACUUUUCAGAUGAAUUGUCAAUUAAAAGAACAAGAGGAACUAGUCUGUAAUAAAUUAUCAAACUUUAAGAGUGAUUUAUUGCCAAUGAACGCAGUUACAUUAAAAGAUAAGGAAAAUUUAGAUUUGUCAAACAUUACUGAUACACCGCCAUCACCCAAAAAAAUAGAGUAACAGAAGAUUUAGCACAAACAAAAAAUAAUUCAUGCAAGAUGACAAUCUAGUCAAAGCACUAACCGAAGAAACAAACACGAGAAACGAAAAGGAGAAGUGUGAUAAUGAGUCCCAAAAGCUGAGCAGAUCUAAAGUUAUUCCAAAGCUAAGUUAGAGCAACUUUCAAACUCAAGAGAACGGUUAGAUUACUCUCAGAAUUAUCCAGCAAUUGGAAUUUUGCGUACUUCAGACGAUUUCCGAAGGGUACACAUUGGUAGAAACCAGUGGGUCACUGAAAAA